GAAUGGCGGCAAUUGAAAAUAGAAGCUUGAACUAUGCAAACGUCUAUUAUUUAUCAGAAAACUAUCUACAACUGCUUAGCAGUCUGUGCAGACUGUCUUGAAUCUCUUAAAUAAUGCUGAUAUCAUAAUCAUCCAAUAGUGUGUACCAGAAGAAUAGUUCAGUCAUUUUUAUACAUACUCACAUACCUGCAACUGAUGCAAUGAUUUUCAAAGCUGUUGGCUGGGAUAUUUCAAGUUUUCCAAACAUUGAGAGAUGGCUGAAAGAAUGUUCCCAAUUGCCAGGAGCAGCCGAAAACGACGAAGGUGCUAAAGCUUUUGGUGAAGCUGUGAAAAAGAAUCUGAAAUAAAA
Molecule: long non-coding RNA, 349 nt
Organism: Trichoplusia ni (cabbage looper)
Lineage: Eukaryota; Metazoa; Arthropoda; Insecta; Lepidoptera; Noctuidae
Exons: 2
Source: RefSeq, a predicted model, not a curated record